Molecule: ribosomal RNA, 429 nt
Filed under: Chloroflexota bacterium
Lineage: Bacteria; Bacillati; Chloroflexota
Description: Chloroflexi bacterium partial 16S ribosomal RNA
Rfam family: Bacterial small subunit ribosomal RNA
Source: RNAcentral
UGGGGAAUAUUGCACAAUGGGCGCAAGCCUGAUGCAGCCAUGCCGCGUGUGUGAAGAAGGCCUUCGGGUUGUAAAGCACUUUCAGCGGGGAGGAAGGGAGUAAAGUUAAUACCUUUGCUCAUUGACGUUACCCGCAGAAGAAGCACCGGCUAACUCCGUGCCAGCAGCCGCGGUAAUACGGAGGGUGCAAGCGUUAAUCGGAAUUACUGGGCGUAAAGCGCACGCAGGCGGUCUGUCAAGUCGGAUGUGAAAUCCCCGGGCUUAACCUGGGAACUGCAUUCGAAACUGGCAGGCUAGAGUCUUGUAGAGGGGGGUAGAAUUCCAGGUGUAGCGGUGGAAUGCGCAGAUAUCUGGAGGAACACCGAUGGCGAAGGCAGGUCACUGGGCCAUUACUGACGCUGAGGAGCGAAAGCAUGGGUAGCGAACAGG